AAGCCGGUUAUACAUAUAAGUAUGACCGAUUUUUUUUAUUCAAAUACAAGUUAGCCCUUAACUACAAUCUCACCUGGUGAUAAGUGAUGAUGCAGUCUAAGAUGGAAGCGGGCUAACCUGGAAGGGGUAUUGCAGUUUUUAGUAAACCCAUACAAACCCUUGGUUUUUACACGGAAUCGCCAGUCGCCACCACAAAAACUAAAAAAAAAUACAAAUCGGUCCAGAAACCUUAAAAAAAUCGGUGUACAUA
Molecule: long non-coding RNA, 250 nt
Organism: Maniola jurtina (meadow brown)
Lineage: Eukaryota; Metazoa; Arthropoda; Insecta; Lepidoptera; Nymphalidae
Exons: 2
Source: RefSeq, a predicted model, not a curated record